ACGGGAGGCAGCAGUGGGGAAUAUUGCACAAUGGGCGCAAGCCUGAUGCAGCAACGCCGCGUGAGGGAAGACGGUUUUCGGAUUGUAAACCUCUGUUCUUGGUGACGAAGAAGUGACGGUAGCCAAGGAGAAAGCCACGGCUAACUACGUGCCAGCAGCCGCGGUAAUACGUAGGUGGCAAGCGUUAUCCGGAAUUACUGGGUGUAAAGGGAGCGCAGGCGGGACAGCAAGUCAGCGGUGAAAUGUAUGGGCUCAACCCAUGAACUGCCGUUGAAACUGUUGUUCUUGAGUGGAGUAGAGGUAGGCGGAAUUCCGAGUGUAGCGGUGAAAUGCGUAGAUAUUCGGAGGAACACCAGUGGCGAAGGCGGCUUACUGGGCUCUAACUGACGCUGAGGCACGAAAGUGUGGGUAGCAAACAGGAUUAGAUACCCUGGUA
This 436-nucleotide ribosomal RNA is filed under the name uncultured Clostridium sp. RNAcentral's name for it is "partial 16S ribosomal RNA". It matches the Rfam family "Bacterial small subunit ribosomal RNA", at positions 341 to 792 of the family's 1533-position model. Lineage: Bacteria; Bacillati; Bacillota; Clostridia; Eubacteriales; Clostridiaceae. The record is from RNAcentral.